AACUUUUCGAAUUCGUGCACAGAUUUCGUCAAACACCAACCCAUUAGGGCAGAUAACACUUCCAAGAUAAGUGAAGUU
Non-coding RNA from Schistosoma curassoni, 78 nucleotides. The record is from Rfam. Lineage: Eukaryota; Metazoa; Platyhelminthes; Trematoda; Strigeidida; Schistosomatidae.